UACAGAGGUCUCAAGCGUUGUUCGGAUUCAUUGGGCGUAAAGGGUGCGUAGGCGGGUCUUUAAGUCAGGGGUGAAAUCCUGGGGCUCAACUCCAGAACUGCCUUUGAUACUGAAGAUCUUGAGUUCGGGAGAGGUGAGUGGAACUGCGAGUGUAGAGGUGAAAUUCGUAGAUAUUCGCAAGAACACCAGUGGCGAAGGCGGCUCACUGGCCCGAUACUGACGCUGAGGCACGAAAGCGUGGGGAGCAAACAGG
This 253-nucleotide ribosomal RNA is filed under the name uncultured bacterium. Its description in RNAcentral is "partial 16S ribosomal RNA". It matches the Rfam family "Bacterial small subunit ribosomal RNA", at positions 524 to 776 of the family's 1533-position model. The record is from RNAcentral.